RNAcentral lists this ribosomal RNA (1092 nucleotides) under uncultured Sebacina. RNAcentral describes it as "eukaryotic LSU rRNA". The stretch from base 506 to 1092 matches the Rfam family "Eukaryotic large subunit ribosomal RNA", at positions 1 to 590 of the family's 3401-position model. The record is from RNAcentral. Lineage: Eukaryota; Fungi; Basidiomycota; Agaricomycetes; Sebacinales; Sebacinaceae.
AUUCACAUGUGCACACCUUUGGUCGCAAAUCCACACACACCUGUGCAUCUAYGACUCGAGGUUGUAAUGACUGAGAGUAACUUUUAUACACUCUUGUAUGUAAUGGAAUGUCUUUUUGUGCUAUAAUGUACAAUAUAAACAACUUUCAACAACGGAUCUCUUGGCUCUCGCAUCGAUGAAGAACGCAGCGAAAUGCGAUAAGUAAUGUGAAUUGCAGAAUUCAGUGAAUCAUCGAAUCUUUGAACGCACCUUGCACCCUUUGGUAUUCCGAAGGGUACGCCCGUUUGAGUGUCAUUGUAAUCUCACUUCUACAACUUUAUUGUUGUUUGAAUGUGGACUUGGAUGUUGCCGUUUUAUCACGGCUCGUCUUAAAUGCCUGAGUGUACCCUGUUUUGCAGCGUAUCCAGUGUAAUAAACAUUUCACUAGAGUUGGUYGAAAGACCRCGUUGACUAUAUGGGCUCUAUGCUUCAAACCGUCUGCCAUGUGGACAAUUUCUUGACAAUUUGACCUCAAAUCGGGUGGGACUACCCGCUGAACUUAAGCAUAUCAAUAAGCGGAGGAAAAGAAACUAACAAGGAUUCCCCUAGUAACGGCGAGUGAAGAGGGAAAAGCUCAAAUUUUAAAUCUGGUGUCUUUGACUCCCGAGUUGUAAUCUAGAGAAGUGUUUUCCGUGUCGGACCGUGUACAAGUUCCCUGGAACGGGGCGUCAUAGAGGGUGAGAAUCCCGUAUAUGCCACGGACUACCGAUGCUCUGUGAUACACUCUCAACGAGUCGAGUUGUUUGGGAAUGCAGCUCAAAAUGGGUGGUAAAUUCCAUCUAAAGCUAAAUAUUGGCGAGAGACCGAUAGCGAACAAGUACCGUGAGGGAAAGAUGAAAAGYACUUUGGAAAGAGAGUGAAACAGUACGUGAAAUUGUUGAAAGGGAAGCGUUUGAAGUCAGUCGCAUCUGUUGGGGUUCAGCCUGGCUUUUGCCUGGUGUAUUUCCUUUCCGAUGGGUCAGCAUCAGUUUCGACCGAGGGAAAAAGACAUUUGGAAUGUGGCUGUCUUCGGGCAGUGUUAUAGCCUUGUGUUGUAUGUCUCGGUUGGGACUG